GCAUAUCAAUAAGCGGAGGAAAAGAAACCAACCGGGAUUGCCUCAGUAACGGCGAGUGAAGCGGCAAGAGCUCAAAUUUGAAAUCUGGCCCCUUUGGGGUCCGAGUUGUAAUUUGCAGAGGAUGCUUCGGGUGCGGUCCCCGUCUAAGUGCCCUGGAACGGGCCGUCAUAGAGGGUGAGAAUCCCGUCUGGGAUGGGCGGCCGCGCCCGUGUGAAGCUCCUUCGACGAGUCGAGUUGUUUGGGAAUGCAGCUCUAAGCGGGUGGUAAAUUUCAUCUAAAGCUAAAUACUGGCCGGAGACCGAUAGCGCACAAGUAGAGUGAUCGAAAGAUGAAAAGCACUUUGAAAAGAGAGUUAAACAGCACGUGAAAUUGUUGAAAGGGAAGCGUUGUCCACCAGACUCGCCCGGGGGGGUUCAGCCGGCACGUGUGCCGGUGUACUCCUCUCCGGGCGGGCCAGCAUCGGUUUGGGCGGCUGGUGAAAGGCCCCGGGAAUGUGCCACCCUUCGGGGUGCCUUAUAGCCCGGGGUGCCAUGCAGCCAGCCUGGACCGAGGCCCGCGCUUCGGCGAGGAUGCUGGCGUAAUGGUGGUCAACGGCCCGUCUUGAAACACGGACCAAGGAGUCUAACAUCUAUGCGAGUGUUCGGGUGUCAAACCCGUCCGCGCAGUGAAAGCGAACGGAGGUGGGAGCCCCUCGGGGCGCACCAUCGACCGAUCCUGAUGUCUUCGGAUGGAUUUGAGUAAGAGCAUAGCUGUUGGGACCCGAAAGAUGGUGAACUAUGCCUGAAUAGGGCGAAGCCAGAGGAAACUCUGGUGGAGGCUCGCAGCGGUUCUGACGUGCAAAUCGAUCGUCAAAUUUGGGUAUAGGGGCGAAAGACUAAUCGAACCAUCUGGUAGCUGGUUCCUGCCGA
RNAcentral lists this ribosomal RNA (908 nucleotides) under Talaromyces funiculosus. RNAcentral's name for it is "LSU rRNA". It matches the Rfam family "Eukaryotic large subunit ribosomal RNA", at positions 38 to 964 of the family's 3401-position model. Lineage: Eukaryota; Fungi; Ascomycota; Eurotiomycetes; Eurotiales; Trichocomaceae. The record is from RNAcentral.